This is an unclassified non-coding RNA of Pongo abelii (Sumatran orangutan), 117 nucleotides long. It matches the Rfam family "Metazoan signal recognition particle RNA". Rfam says of the family: The signal recognition particle (SRP) is a universally conserved ribonucleoprotein. It is involved in the co-translational targeting of proteins to membranes. The eukaryotic SRP consists of a 300-nucleotide 7S RNA and six proteins: SRPs 72, 68, 54, 19, 14, and 9. The record is from Ensembl. NCBI's taxonomy places the organism in Eukaryota, Metazoa, Chordata, Mammalia, Primates, Hominidae.
GCUGGGUGUGGUGGCUCAUGCCUGUAAUCCCAGCACUUUGGGAGGCCGAGGUGGGAGAAUUGCUUGAGCUCAGGUGUUUGAGAUCAGCCUGGGCAACAUAGCAAGACCCCAUCUCUA